UACAGAGGGUGCGAGCGUUAAUCGGAAUUACUGGGCGUAAAGCGUGCGUAGACGGUUUCGUAAGUCGGGUGUGAAAUCCCCAGGCUCAACUUGGGAACUGCGUCUGAUACUGGUUGGCUUGAAUUCGGGAGAGGGAUGCAGAAUUCCAGGUGUAGCGGUGAAAUGCGUAGAUAUCUGGAGGAAUACCGGUGGCGAAGGCGGCAUCCUGGACCGAGAUUGACACUGAUGAGCGAAAGCCAGGGGAGCAAACGGG
RNAcentral lists this ribosomal RNA (253 nucleotides) under uncultured bacterium. RNAcentral describes it as "partial 16S ribosomal RNA". It matches the Rfam family "Bacterial small subunit ribosomal RNA", at positions 524 to 776 of the family's 1533-position model. The record is from RNAcentral.